RNAcentral lists this ribosomal RNA (415 nucleotides) under uncultured Rhizobium/Agrobacterium group bacterium. RNAcentral's name for it is "bacterial SSU rRNA". It matches the Rfam family "Bacterial small subunit ribosomal RNA", at positions 358 to 789 of the family's 1533-position model. Lineage: Bacteria; Pseudomonadati; Pseudomonadota; Alphaproteobacteria; Hyphomicrobiales; Rhizobiaceae. The record is from RNAcentral.
GGAAUAUUGGACAAUGGGCGCAAGCCUGAUCCAGCCAUGCCGCGUGAGUGAUGAAGGCCUUAGGGUUGUAAAGCUCUUUCACCGGUGAAGAUAAUGACGGUAACCGGAGAAGAAGCCCCGGCUAACUUCGUGCCAGCAGCCGCGGUAAUACGAAGGGGGCUAGCGUUGUUCGGAAUUACUGGGCGUAAAGCGCACGUAGGCGGAUAUUUAAGUCAGGGGUGAAAUCCCAGAGCUCAACUCUGGAACUGCCUUUGAUACUGGGUAUCUUGAGUAUGGAAGAGGUAAGUGGAAUUGCGAGUGUAGAGGUGAAAUUCGUAGAUAUUCGCAGGAACACCAGUGGCGAAGGCGGCUUACUGGUCCAUAACUGACGCUGAGGUGCGAAAGCGUGGGGAGCAAACAGGAUUAGAUACCCCUG